GGCUCAGAAUGAACGCUGGCGGCGUGCCUAACACAUGCAAGUCGAGCGAGAAAGUUCCUUCGGGGAGCGAGUGCAGCGGCGGACGGGUGAGUAACGCGUGGACGAUCUACCCAGUGAUUCGGGAUAACCUUGCGAAAGCGGGGCUAAUACCGAAUGGUCUGGGCAUUUUGAAAUGUGCCUGGUAAAGGUGGCCUCUGAUUCAAGCUAUCGUCUUUGGAUGGGUCCGCGUCCCAUUAGCUUGUUGGUAGGGUCAUGGCCUACCAAGGCGACGAUGGGUAGCUGGUCUGAGAGGAUGAUCAGCCACACUGGGACUGGAACACGGCCCAGACUCCUACGGGAGGCAGCAGUGGGGAAUAUUGGGCAAUGGGCGCAAGCCUGACCCAGCAACGCCGCGUGAGGGAAGAAGGUCUUCGGAUCGUAAACCUCAGUCAGGAGGGAAGAAAUGGGUUGUCCUGAACAGGGAUGGCCUUUGACGGUACCUCCAGAGGAAGCACCGGCCAACUCCGUGCCAGCAGCCGCGGUAAUACGGAGGGUGCAAGCGUUAUUCGGAAUCACUGGGCGUAAAGCGCACGUAGGCGGCUUUGCAAGUCAGGUGUGAAAGCCCUCGGCUCAACCGAGGAAUUGCACUUGAAACUGUAGAGCUCGAGUUCGGGAGAGGGUGGCGGAAUUCCAGGUGUAGGAGUGAAAUCCGUAGAUAUCUGGAGGAACACCAGAGGCGAAGGCGGCCACCUGGACCGAAACUGACGCUGAGGUGCGAAAGCGUGGGGAGCAAACAGGAUUAGAUACCCCUGGUAGUCCACGCCGUAAACGAUGGAUGCUAGAUGCUGGGUGUGUAAGACAUUCGGUGUCGGAGUUAACGCGUUAAGCAUCCCGCCUGGGGAGUACGGUCGCAAGGCUGAAACUCAAAGAAAUUGACGGGGGCCCGCACAAGCGGUGGAGUAUGUGGUUUAAUUCGAUGCAACGCGAAGAACCUUACCUGGGCUUGACAUCCCGGGAACCUCCUGGAAACAGGGGCGUGCCCUUCGGGGAACCCGGUGACAGGUGCUGCAUGGCUGUCGUCAGCUCGUGCCGUGAGCUGUUGGGUUAAGUCCCGCAACGAGCGCAACCCUUGUCCUUAGUUGCCAUCAGGUAAAGCUGGGCCCUCUAGGGAGACUGCCGAGGUGAACUCGGAGGAAGGUGGGGACGACGUCAAGUCAUCAUGGCCCUUACGCCCAGGGCUACACACGUACUACAAUGGUGGGUACAAAGGGAAGCC
Molecule: ribosomal RNA, 1255 nt
Filed under: uncultured organism
Description: bacterial SSU rRNA
Rfam family: Bacterial small subunit ribosomal RNA
Source: RNAcentral